UACGAAGGGGGCUAGCGUUGCUCGGAAUUACUGGGCGUAAAGGGUGUGUAGGCGGAUACUUAAGUCGGGGGUGAAAGCCCAGGGCUCAACCCUGGAAUAGCCUUCGAUACUGGGUAUCUUGAGUUCGGGAGAGGUAAGCGGAACUCCGAGUGUAGAGGUGAAAUUCGUAGAUAUUCGGAAGAACACCAGUGGCGAAGGCGGCUUACUGGCCCGAUACUGACGCUGAAACACGAAAGCGUGGGGAGCAAACAGG
RNAcentral lists this ribosomal RNA (253 nucleotides) under uncultured bacterium. RNAcentral describes it as "partial 16S ribosomal RNA". It matches the Rfam family "Bacterial small subunit ribosomal RNA", at positions 524 to 776 of the family's 1533-position model. The record is from RNAcentral.